RNAcentral lists this ribosomal RNA (597 nucleotides) under Curculionidae sp. NZAC 03013282. RNAcentral describes it as "eukaryotic LSU rRNA". The stretch from base 377 to 597 matches the Rfam family "Eukaryotic large subunit ribosomal RNA", at positions 665 to 846 of the family's 3401-position model. Lineage: Eukaryota; Metazoa; Arthropoda; Insecta; Coleoptera; Curculionidae. The record is from RNAcentral.
GACGGAAGACGCGUUCGCGCGCGUCAUCCGCGCCCUCCGUUUUCGGAUCCGAAGGCGAACGCGUGCACUUUUCUCUCGGUAGGACGUCGCGAUCCGUCGGGCGUCGGUCUACGGCUCGCGGUGGAGACCGGGCGCGCGUUCACGCGCGCGCCAGGACCCGCUUGUCCCGGCCGACCCGCUCGACGGUAGGCGAACGGUCAAGGGCCGCUCCUUGCGAGCGUUCGGCCCGUCGCAAGCGCGUCAGACGUAUCGGCGAUCGGACCUCGUGCCGGUUCCGAUCUCUGGCGACUGUUGGCGGCGGACGUCUCGAACAGACCUCUGACCGAUCCGCGACGCUAUAGCUUUGGGUACUUUCAGGACCCGUCUUGAAACACGGACCAAGGAGUCUAGCAUGUGCGCGAGUCAUUGGGAUCAACUAAACCCAAAGGCGCAAUGAAAGUGAAGGUCCGCCUCGCGCGGACUGGGGGAGGACGGGCGGUCCGCCCUUAAAAGCGGCCGCCUCGCACUCCCGGGGCGUCUCGUUCUCAUCGCGAGAAGAGGCGCACCGAGAGCGUACACGCUGGGACCCGAAAGAUGGUGACCUAUGCCUGAUCAGGA